This 79-nucleotide transfer RNA is filed under the name Gasteruption parvicollarium. RNAcentral describes it as "tRNA-Arg". Lineage: Eukaryota; Metazoa; Arthropoda; Insecta; Hymenoptera; Gasteruptiidae. The record is from RNAcentral.
UUAAAUUUUAAUUUAUGAAUUUUAAAUCAGUUUCGACCUGAUUAAUGAUUAAAUUAAUUUUAUUAAUCCAUAAAUUAAU